CCAGCAGGACGUUCUAUCGCUCCUUGAGCUACGGCGACGUUGGUUGAGGGGAGGAAAGUCCGGGCAGCAAAGAGCACCAGACUUCCGGGAGGGAGAUGUUCGUGAGGGCAUAGACAGCGGGGAAGAAAAUAACCGCCCCGUUCCGAUUCGUCGGGUGGGGUAAGGGUGAGAAGGUGAGGUAAGAGCUCACCGGUUCCGGUGGCGACACCGGUUGCCGCCCGCCUUCUGGGCUGAAAGACCAUGUAUACCGGCUGUUAAGGGCUGCUCGCCCGAUGCCGGGGGGUAGGUCGAGUAGAUAAAUGAUAGAGCUCCCGGAUUUGGCCCCAAGUGGGACAACCGGGAUACAGAACCCGGCUUACAGACCGGCUGGAAAC
This 374-nucleotide RNase P RNA is filed under the name Bacteroides sp. Its description in RNAcentral is "RNase P RNA component class A". It matches the Rfam family "Bacterial RNase P class A". From Rfam's summary of the family: Ribonuclease P (RNase P) is a ubiquitous endoribonuclease, found in archaea, bacteria and eukarya as well as chloroplasts and mitochondria. Its best characterised activity is the generation of mature 5'-ends of tRNAs by cleaving the 5'-leader elements of precursor-tRNAs. Cellular RNase Ps are ribonucleoproteins. The record is from RNAcentral. Lineage: Bacteria; Pseudomonadati; Bacteroidota; Bacteroidia; Bacteroidales; Bacteroidaceae.